RNAcentral lists this long non-coding RNA (216 nucleotides) under Elaeis guineensis (African oil palm). Its description in RNAcentral is "long non-coding RNA (EGUI_LNC053868)". The record is from RNAcentral. Lineage: Eukaryota; Viridiplantae; Streptophyta; Magnoliopsida; Arecales; Arecaceae.
AUACUAUCAAAUCAGGAUUUUAGUAAAAUUAUGAUUUUGCCCCUGAAGAGCAUAAAGACUUUUUCAAUUUAAAAUAUUUGUAUCCCUUCAAUCUGCUUUGUAAUCAUCAAAAUCAAUCUAGGAGCAACAGUCAGUAUGAUUGAAUCUUAUUUUGAUAUCAUCAAGAUACAUCGAGCAGAAUGUGACACACUCCGUAGUUACGUAUGCUUCCACUAU